UACACACACACAUUUCUGCUGACACUAAUGAUUAGUUAGGAUGUGGAUACAUGUUUUAGAAACCACUUCCUAAUACUAUAAUUCAUGAUUAACUCAAGAGUUACAAGUGAUUAGUUAAUUAU
Long non-coding RNA from Alosa sapidissima (American shad), 122 nucleotides. RefSeq lists it as uncharacterized. Lineage: Eukaryota; Metazoa; Chordata; Actinopteri; Clupeiformes; Clupeidae. The transcript has 4 exons. The record is from RefSeq and is a predicted model, not a curated record.